This 250-nucleotide ribosomal RNA is filed under the name uncultured prokaryote. RNAcentral describes it as "partial 16S ribosomal RNA". It matches the Rfam family "Bacterial small subunit ribosomal RNA", at positions 524 to 771 of the family's 1533-position model. The record is from RNAcentral.
UACGUAGGGUCCAAGCAUUAUCCGGAGUGACUGGGUGUAAAGAGUUGCGUAGGUGGCAUAGUAAGUAGAUAGUGAAAUCUGGUGGCUCAACCAUUCAGACUAUUAUCUAAACUGCUAAGCUCGAGAGCGUUAGGGGUACCUGGAAUUUCUAGUGUAGGAGUGAAAUCCGUAGAUAUUAGAAAGAACACCGAUAGCGUAGGCAGGGUACUGGGACGUUUCUGACACUAAGGCACGAAAGCGUAGGGAGCAA